RNAcentral lists this transfer RNA (76 nucleotides) under Chloroflexota bacterium. RNAcentral's name for it is "tRNA-Gly". It matches the Rfam family "tRNA". From Rfam's summary of the family: Transfer RNA (tRNA) molecules are approximately 80 nucleotides in length. The record is from RNAcentral. Lineage: Bacteria; Bacillati; Chloroflexota.
GCCCUCGUAGCUUAAUGGAUAAAGCAUUGGCUUACCGCACCAAAAGAUGGGAGUUCGAGUCUCCCCGAGGGCUCCA